This 918-nucleotide long non-coding RNA is filed under the name Solanum tuberosum (potato). RNAcentral describes it as "long non-coding RNA (STUB_LNC002226)". The record is from RNAcentral. Lineage: Eukaryota; Viridiplantae; Streptophyta; Magnoliopsida; Solanales; Solanaceae.
GUUUCUCAGGGUAUGGGCCCUCAAAGCUCCAACUUUGGUAUGAAUGCACAUUUGGGUCUUGUGAAUGCCAAUGUAGCCGCCCAGCAGUCUAAGAAUGGCUUGUCUAAGCAAAUGCCUAAUGCGACUCAGCAAUUGCUAGGCCAGUUGCCUCUGAUGAAUUCUUUCGACUUUGUUCAGCAGCCACAAACUCAGAACUUUAAUCCUCCUGCUUCUGCUAAUACACAGGUGAAUUCACUUGGAUCCUGCAUUCUGUGUUGCUGUACUUUAACUCCGUAAUGUGUUUGAGGCGGUUUAUUUUCACCAAGUAGUUCUUGGUCAUCUUCUCUUAGACCUUUUAUUCUAUUGACUGCAGUAUGCACUACUGGAAAAACUCCUAAAUUGCACCCUGCCUUUCGCUUAAGAAUCAAGAUUAUGUAGCAUAGAUAGAUAGUGAUGAGCCUCCUGAGUUAGUAGCAUGGUGGGGGAAAAUGUCAUCUUACUACUGGUAAAGGAUGUUGUCUAAGUUGUAGCCUUGUGGUAUGACGACAUUAUUUCUUAUAGCUAGGUCAUUGGUAACUUUCAUCGGACAUUUCCUACAUGACAUAAUUAUUGUUUGUUCAAGUGAAUUGGAGCUAAGCUGCAUUAUAGAGGAAAACUAUUCCUGUUUGUGCUCAUGUAAUGCUUAUUUUAGCUAGAAAGUUUUGCUAAAGUCUGUGUCUGUGUAUUGUUCAAACUAGGUAUGUCAGGGUAUAGGGCCUCAAAUUCCCAACUUUUCUAUGAAUGCGCAUUUGGGUCUUUUGAAUGCCAAUGGAGCUGUCCAGCAAAUGCCUAAUGUGAAUCAGCAAUUGCUAGGCCAGUUACCUAUGAUGAAUCAGUUUGGCUUUGUUCAGCAGCCACAAACUCAGAACUUCAAUGCUCCUGCUUCUACUAAUACACAGG